UACAGAGGGGGCAAGCGUUAUUCGGAAUUAUUGGGCGUAAAGGGCGUGUAGGCGGCCUGGCAAGUGACGGGUGAAAGCCCUCGGCUCAACCGAGGAACUGCCUGUCAUACUGCCGGGCUUGAGUCCGGGAGAGGUGAGUGGAAUUCCCAGUGUAGCGGUGAAAUGCGUAGAUAUUGGGAGGAACACCAGUGGCGAAGGCGGCUCACUGGACCGGAACUGACGCUGAGGCGCGAAAGCGUGGGGAGCAAACAGG
This 253-nucleotide ribosomal RNA is filed under the name uncultured bacterium. RNAcentral's name for it is "partial 16S ribosomal RNA". It matches the Rfam family "Bacterial small subunit ribosomal RNA", at positions 524 to 776 of the family's 1533-position model. The record is from RNAcentral.